Molecule: unclassified non-coding RNA, 20 nt
Filed under: Chlamydomonas reinhardtii
Lineage: Eukaryota; Viridiplantae; Chlorophyta; Chlorophyceae; Chlamydomonadales; Chlamydomonadaceae
Description: small RNA Cre_2636
Source: RNAcentral
UCGAGCCCAUCCGGGUGCGU